GUGCCAGCAGCCGCGGUAAUACGGAGGGUGCAAGCGUUAUCCGGAUUCACUGGGUUUAAAGGGUGCGUAGGAGGGUAGGGAAGUCAGUGGUGAAAUCUCCGGGCUUAACUCGGAAACUGCCGUUGAUACUCUCUAUCUUGUAUCUUGUGGAGGUGAGCGGAAUAUGUCAUGUAGCGGUGAAAUGCUUAGAGAUGACAUAGAACACCAAUUGCGAAGGCAGCUCACUACCCAAACAUUGACUCUGAGGCACGAAAGCGUGGGGAUCAAACAGGAUUAGAUACCCUGGUAGUCC
Molecule: ribosomal RNA, 292 nt
Filed under: uncultured bacterium
Lineage: Bacteria
Description: partial 16S ribosomal RNA
Rfam family: Bacterial small subunit ribosomal RNA
Source: RNAcentral